CUUGAGAUCUUGCAGGUCAAUUUGUCCCUCCUGUGGCCAUGAACUUGGAGCCCUAUUCUCUGGAGUAGAACUUUGUCAGGAAAACCUGAACUGCUGUCAGCGACAAAGCAAAGGAGAGGCUGAGACCCGCAAAGCCUGGAAAAGUUAACAUUGGAAGUGUUAUACAUCCUUGUUGGAUGUAGAGGCCGGGUUUUAAUUAAUCCAUUAUCUAAAAAAAAAAACUGGAAGCGUUCAUUGUUCAGCAUACUGAAAAUACCAUUGUAAGAUGAACAUGUUAAGGUGUAAUGGCUUAUGUACAUACAUACCUGGUGAGACUGCUCCUGGAGGAGCCAAAACAAGGAGCAGUGCUGCUGUUAGUAGUGUCAGGCUCUGCAGUGCUUCUACUCUUAUGAGAACCCACUCUUGCGCCGCAACUGUGUGGAAGAACAAUGUCGCGUCGGUAUCGAUAAGAAGUAGGUUAUUGCGGAUGAACCUGUCUGUUUCCCCAAAAGACCUGAUGGUCACCACAGCAAGAAUUGAUUCCGCCGCAUAGUUCAUGACUGGUGCCUUUGUUGUUCCAUUGAUUCUUGCUAGAUCUCUUGCUGAGGCCACGUAGUGCCUCGUCAAAGGUUUUAAAACAAACGUGAGAUCUUGAGUUCAGAAGGUAACAUUUGAUCUAUUUAUUCAUCUACUGGUUUAAUUAACGAUGGUAGUUGUUUGCAGCAAUUAGGGGACUGACCUGAACAUAUGCCACAGUAAUUGUAACUGGGAUUGCUACAAUUAGAACUUGCCAAGUUACAGCCCCUGUAACCAGUAUUGUUGUGAUGAGCUCACUAGCGCCAACGACGACAUAAGCCACGGAGUAAGGUAUGUCAAAGUCCAGGAUGCUUAAAUCUGAAGAUGCCUGCAGAGAAUAAAAGGGCUACAGUCAGUCCAUACCCUUGUCAAGAUUCUUCCAACCGGUGUUGAAUCAAAGAAAGACAUGGGGGCCUUGAACACAGAAUCCAUUAGGCCGGUAAAGAAUGCUUUGGAGGCCUUGAGCCCCAACUUAGCUGCAUAAAGGGUUCUGAUAUAGGCAAAGCAGCAGCUCAAGAUGGACAGCCCUGAAUAUGCCCCUACCAGGAGAGCACUACUGACGUUCAUCUGGACAGCCACUGCCAGCCAGAAUGUGGCCAUCAUCUGGAAGGAUGUGAAGAGCACCUGAGUAACACCCAUCACACAGAGAUGUGUGAUUCCCUUGGACACAUUGAUGUAGUCCUUAUAUGGCUUCCAUCCAAGAAGGUUGUCCUGAUGUAUUUUCAUCAGUCACAUUUUGCUCCUGGACUUGGCUUUGCUGGCUGGAAUCAUCCAAUGCUGUGAUUGAGGACUUGUGAGCUGAGACAAGCUUCUCAAAUGCUGUCCCGGAUUCCAUUAGCUCUGCGUAAACACCUUGUUGUUUGACAUAACCAUCUUCCAUUACCUGUUGAAACAAUGGCAGAUCAUUCAUCUGAAGGAUCUUUGAUACCCUUUGAUAUGGCUAAAUGAUAGUCUGAAGAUCAACUUACCAGAAUCCGAUCAGUCUCGGUGAGAAAUUCAACCUGGGAGUGCAUCCAUGGAUGCAGGUCAAGGAGCACCUCUUACAUAGAACAGAACCGCAGCGGUGUGCGCAUCGACCGCGCUGAAAGGAUCAUCUAGGAGGUCUCCAUGGUCGAAGUUCUCGAAGGGCUUCCCGAAGAGGAUGUUGUCGCGAACAGUGCCACUCUAUCCAUGAGUUCUGGGAAACAUACGCCACUGUGCCAUACAACUCCACCUGAAAAUUGAUUGUAGUUUUGUCAUGUUCAUAUUUUAGAAAACAUAGAUUUGUCAUUGUCAUUUUUUUUUUUGUAUAUGAACAUGACAAGACAAUCUUGUGUUUUCUCCUUUCAUGGUAAAAUGAAAAGAAAGGAGAUAAAUAUAGAGUCGAAGAUUAUCUUGAGUCUUUUUUCAGGGGAAAGUAGAAAGUUUUUAGUGAUAAUGCCCUAUUGUUUUUGCAUGAAAUCUAAAUAAUUAUGAGAAAUUA
Molecule: non-coding RNA, 2017 nt
Organism: Oryza sativa Japonica Group (Japanese rice)
Lineage: Eukaryota; Viridiplantae; Streptophyta; Magnoliopsida; Poales; Poaceae
Source: RefSeq, a predicted model, not a curated record